CGCGUAGGCGGAUUGGUAAGUCGGAUGUGAAAUUCCAAGGCUCAACCUUGGAGCUGCAUUCGAAACUAUCGAUCUAGAGGAAUGGCGGAGAAAACGGAAUUCCACAAGUAGCGGUGAAAUGCGUAGAUAUGUGGAGGAACACCUGUGGCGAAAGCGGUUUUCUAGCCUAAACCUGACGCUGAGGCGCGAGAGGCAAGGGGAAUCAAACA
Molecule: ribosomal RNA, 209 nt
Filed under: uncultured bacterium
Lineage: Bacteria
Description: partial 16S ribosomal RNA
Rfam family: Bacterial small subunit ribosomal RNA
Source: RNAcentral